This 1094-nucleotide long non-coding RNA is filed under the name Equus caballus (horse). RNAcentral describes it as "lncRNA (ENSECAG00000035023.3)". Lineage: Eukaryota; Metazoa; Chordata; Mammalia; Perissodactyla; Equidae. The record is from RNAcentral.
CAGGGACCCCACUUUGAGAACUGCUGACUAGAAAACAUGUCACCACUUUUAGGGGUCUGUCCCCUCAGCUGUCACCCUCCUCUCUCCGAUUGCCAGGGCCAUGCCGUGGGAGCCGGGGUCCCAGUUCUGUGUGAGCAACUGUUGGGUUGAGCUUUAUUGCUCUUAUCCAUCCUGAUUUAUCAGACCCUUUCGAAAAGGAAGUUCGUGGGUGCCAACGCACCUGUGUGGGCCCUGCAUUCCAGGAGCUGUUGUCACGUCCUCUCUCCCCUCCCCCGGGUGUGGCAUCUCUCUUUACUUGGACUUUCCUUUCUAGAAGGGAGGGCCAGGCCAGAGCUUCCUGGAUCUCCUAAGUGGAAUUUGCUCUGAGGCCUGCGUCACAAGUGCGCCUGGGUUGUGUAAGGCAGGAAUGUGGAAAAUAGUUAGAAUUUGAUAAAAGCAUUGUGGAGGAGGGGCACCCUCUCACUCCGAGGGCUGUGCCGGCCACAAGCUUGUUCGCAGCGCCUGAAUUUCAGCCUUUCUGGAGAAGCAUGAAGCCCAGAGAAACAGCACAGAGAAGAGUUUAUAUUCCUGUUUCUUCAGUUUGAAGACUGAACCCUAAUCUCAUUUCUCUCCAUCAUGCCUCCCCACCCCCAAAUCCUCAAGCUAAAGCUGAUCAAGAUCUACGUGUGGAAUGAAAAGCUAGUCCCGUGCCUGGGAGAAUUCAUACUCAGUGAGUUAGGGAGAUAAGCGAGCCCCAGCACAUAGCUGUGUAUCCUACUUGUAAGCCAUUCUAGUUCUUCAGUGAGAGAUGCUGCCACAGCAUGGCUUGAUGAGAGGUGCCAUGUCCCCGCCCAGGAUCCGAACCAGCAAACCCUAGGCCACCAAAGCGGAGCGCGCGAACUCAACCACGCGGCCACCGGGCGGCCCCAUAGGCAGAAACUGCCAUUGUAAUCCAACAAGUUAAUGAGGAGCCCGAGAUACUGAAAAAUCAACAGUAAGAAGAAAAAUAUAGCAACGAUUCUAUACAUUCUGUACUCUGUUAGUGGAGCAAUGAUCACAAAUAUAAACCUGAAGUGAUCUCUUCUCACUUCUUAGAAACAAACACAAAAAUUGAG